AGAUGUAAAUCUGCCUGCAACAUUUGUCACCCACUUGUCAUCACCCCACUGAUUGAUUUGGCUGAUCUGGCUGGCAAGGUUAGUGUCCCCUUCUCCCUCAUAACUCCAUGUACAUCACUCCAGAAGCUUCACACCCAGACAAAAGGAUGGCCUUUUGGGAGAGAGUAGUACCAUUCUUCAGUCAAGGGUAUACAAAUAGCUGUACUCCCAUGCUAGAACCUCAAGGUCCAUAAACCUGUUUGUCUAUGGAAAAUUCAUCAUGAUGGAAGAAACUUGAUUGUCUAUGGUAAUUAUCUAUAAAGAUCAU
RNAcentral lists this small nuclear RNA (307 nucleotides) under Castor canadensis (American beaver). RNAcentral's name for it is "7SK RNA (ENSCCNG00000028128.1)". It matches the Rfam family "7SK RNA", at positions 1 to 285 of the family's 331-position model. From Rfam's summary of the family: 7SK was discovered as an abundant small nuclear RNA in the mid-70s but a possible function has only recently been suggested. Two independent studies have found that 7SK RNA binds the CDK9/cyclin T complex (known as elongation factor P-TEFb). P-TEFb activates transcription by phosphorylating the C-terminal domain of RNA polymerase II. The record is from Rfam by way of RNAcentral. Lineage: Eukaryota; Metazoa; Chordata; Mammalia; Rodentia; Castoridae.